RNAcentral lists this long non-coding RNA (330 nucleotides) under Brassica rapa (field mustard). RNAcentral's name for it is "long non-coding RNA (BRAP_LNC001660)". Lineage: Eukaryota; Viridiplantae; Streptophyta; Magnoliopsida; Brassicales; Brassicaceae. The record is from RNAcentral.
CGGCGGCUUAACAGGUGGUGAGAACGGUGGACUUUGGACAUCAACGGUGAGGUUCUCUGGCCGAGGUGGUGCACACGGACACGGCAAUGCUAUAAAUUUAGGCGUAUUAUCUCCAGGCAUCACCACCGUUAUGCUUAGAUCCUGGGGUUUCUUCACAUCCUGUUCACAAUAGUUAUUUUUAGUUCAUAAUCAACUCACUAGAUUUAUAUUUAUAUUUUAUUUUUUACUUUCUACUUACUAACUAAAUUUUCAAAAUUCAACUUCUGGUCCUUAAUAAAUUACAAUUUCAUCAAGAUAGUAAUGUAUUCCAUAUGCUUUCACUUACUUUUC